This 216-nucleotide unclassified non-coding RNA is filed under the name fungal sp. Its description in RNAcentral is "partial internal transcribed spacer region". The stretch from base 1 to 46 matches the Rfam family "Eukaryotic small subunit ribosomal RNA", at positions 1786 to 1831 of the family's 1831-position model. Lineage: Eukaryota; Fungi. The record is from RNAcentral.
AAGUCGUAACAAGGUUUCCGUAGGUGAACCUGCGGAAGGAUCAUCAACAAAUCUAUUUAUGCUGGUAAAACAGCAUAUAUACCAAUGUGAAUUGGGAGAGGGUAACCUUUCUCUAGAUUUUUGUGUCUUUUUAGGCCAAAAAUAUUAACGAGUUAAAUAGAGUCUGAUAAAAGAAUUAAAUUAAAACAACUUUUAACAAUGGAUCUCUUGGCUCUU